RNAcentral lists this ribosomal RNA (466 nucleotides) under uncultured bacterium. RNAcentral's name for it is "partial 16S ribosomal RNA". It matches the Rfam family "Bacterial small subunit ribosomal RNA", at positions 28 to 507 of the family's 1533-position model. The record is from RNAcentral.
GACGAACGCUGGCGGCGCGCCUAACACAUGCAAGUCGAACGAGCGAGAGAGAGCUUGCUUUCUUGAGCGAGUGGCGAACGGGUGAGUAACGCGUGAGGAACCUGCCUCAAAGAGGGGGACAACAGUUGGAAACGACUGCUAAUACCGCAUAAGCCCACGGUGCCGCAUGGCACAGAGGGAAAAGGAGCAAUCCGCUUUGAGAUGGCCUCGCGUCCGAUUAGCUAGUUGGUGAGGUAACGGCCCACCAAGGCGACGAUCGGUAGCCGGACUGAGAGGUUGAACGGCCACAUUGGGACUGAGACACGGCCCAGACUCCUACGGGAGGCAGCAGUGGGGAAUAUUGCACAAUGGGGGAAAACCUGAUGCAGCGACGCCGCGUGGAGGAAGAAGGUCUUCGGAUUGUAAACUCCUGUUGUUGGGGAAGAUAAUGACGGUACCCAACAAGGAAGUGACGGCUAACUACGUG